RNAcentral lists this unclassified non-coding RNA (2073 nucleotides) under Hevea brasiliensis (rubber tree). Lineage: Eukaryota; Viridiplantae; Streptophyta; Magnoliopsida; Malpighiales; Euphorbiaceae. The record is from RNAcentral.
UCUUUUCCUCCAUUUUCUUCCUUUUUUUCAAUUUCUCAUUUCUUCUGGACGAUCGCCGGAGACUCAAUCGGAAAAUUCACCAACUGUUUAUGGAUUGCAGAAGCAGAUCCCUAUCAGCAUCGCCGUCCGCCGUCUCCGCCGCCGUCAACAACAAAUAUCCGAUUCUUCAGUUUUCAUCUCAGCUCUCUAAUCCUUCAUAUACUCCUUUCACCCCGUGGAUACGAUACCUCCGGUUCAGUUUUUCCUGAUUUAUCUUACAAUUUUUUUAUAUGCGAAGAGAACUCCCAAAGUUUACUCUUUCAGUAAAGCUGUCAUUGUUUUAAUAAUCCGGAGCCAAAACUUAAACUUGAAUUAAGGAGACACUAAUUAAAUUAUAGCCAAGAAGAGGUGGUGGUGUGGCUUGAAAUGAUUUAAGUGCUUUCAAUGUCAACUUAAGAUGGCUGCUUCUACGAGUGUGACAAGUCCUCUACAUAAGAAGAUGUCUGGGAGGAGGGCUAAGACUUCUGGUUGGGCUGCAUUUGACCUCAAUGAGAGACUGAAGCAACAAAAUCUUGAGCCAGAGCCUGAGAGAGAAACCUUCCCCAACUUAUCCGUUCCGCCCACUUCCUUAAGGGGUCCAUCUCAAAGCAUCGCAAAGAACAGUGGAGCAACUCUAGAGAAGCCUUUUUCAUCCUUGCUGCUACCGUCUGUAAGUUUUCCAUCGUUAAUGGCUACUAAAGAGUCUGAUGCAAAUCAUAGUCAAGUUGGCGAUUCUUGUUUCAACCAGACUGAUGGUUUUAUCCGAGAAAGAGGUUUUCUAGAGGUGUGUCGAAAGCUGAAAGAGCUCCAGCCAUGGGCUGAUGACACCUUGAUCGCAGAUGUCUUGGCUGGUGUAAAUGAUUUCAAUAAGGCCUUGACAUUGUUGGAUGCAAUGGUAUCUCCUGAUCAUACAUAUGUUGCACAUGACAACAGAACAACUCCAGAAGAAGCAGAUACUCCCUACAUACAAAACCUUAAAGACGUAGACACAGAUACUAAAGGGGUCAAGUCUAGUAGUAAGAAUUCUCUCAUGAAUAUUAACAAGUUUGCUGCUAAUAAAGGUGUGUCAUUGACAGACAAUGUGGAUAUGGAUGAAUUGAGCCAUGCACUUGCCAAGUGUCUUCAGAGCAACAGUCAGGAACUAAUAAAUAACUGUGUUUCUCACGAGAACAAACUUCAUUUUGAUGGAGCAGUGGGGAGUAUGAGCUUUGUACCGGUUGAGCCUGAGUGGGAAGAGGAUGAUAUUUACUCGAUCCAUCGGAAGGAUGCAGUGAAGAUGACGAGGUCGGCAGCCCGACAUUCUAAGGCUGCCAGUGAGGCCUAUCUCAGAGGAGACCACUUAUCUGCCCAACAUUUUUCUCUAAAAGCCCAAGAAGAGUGGGAUGCUGCUAAUAGGCUAAAUGCCCAGGCUGCAAAAGAAAUUUUGACUGCCUGCAACGGUAAGAAUGAUCAAUGGACACUGGACUUGCAUGGUCUUCAUGCAAAAGAGGCAGUUCAAGCCUUACAAGAACAUUUGCAAAAGAUUGAAUCUCAGGUGGCACAGAAUAAGCGCAGCUUUGGAGCUGCUGUCUCUUUUGAUGUGGAGAAUGAGAGCAAAGGGUCCCACCUAUUGAAUAAGCAGCGGCCAGCUUUCUUAGAGGUCAUAACAGGUAAAGGUAUUCAUAGCCGGGGACAAGCUGCACUUCCAAUGGCUAUAAGAAGCUUUCUCGUGGAGAAGGGAUAUCGUUAUGAGGAGACAAGGCCCGGGGUGAUCACAGUUAGACCCAAGUUCCGACCACGAUAAAUACGUUCAUAUGUAUAUUUUGGGUCCCAAUUUAGUGCAUUUGUUUCUGUUGCUAUCAACUUUGACCUAGAGAUUUUGAGUCUUGAACUGGUCUUAUAAAAACGACCAGAAACCUGUUGUGGUUAUAUACUGUUGAAUAUUUCUGUAAUUGCAUACCAUCAAACAUUGUAUGUACUUUGCUGAUUUCUCCACAGGUCCAAACUAACACUUGAAAGUAUAUUGGAGGUAGCUUGGUCAAGUGUCUCAAAUUACUAUUCACGGUGAAUUUUAUA